This 420-nucleotide ribosomal RNA is filed under the name uncultured microorganism. RNAcentral's name for it is "bacterial SSU rRNA". It matches the Rfam family "Archaeal small subunit ribosomal RNA", at positions 330 to 759 of the family's 1478-position model. The record is from RNAcentral.
GCGCAGCAGUCGCGAAACCUCCGCAAUACACGAAAGUGUGACGGGGCCAUCCCGAGUGCCGUCCGCUGAGGACGGCUUUCCCAGUGUACAUAGCUGGGGAAUAAGGAGAGGGCAAGCCUGGUGUCAGCCGCCGCGGUAAUACCAGCUCUCCGAGUGGUGGGGACGCUUAUUGGGCCUAAAGCAUCCGUAGCCGGCUGGGCAAGUCCUCCGUUAAAUCCAACGAUUCAAUCGUUGGGCUGCGGGGGAUACUGUCCAGCUUGGGGGCGGGAGAGGCCGACGGUAUUCCCGGGGUAGGGUGAAAUCCUAUAAUCCCGGGAGGACCACCAGUGGCGAAGGCUGUCGGCUAGAACGCGCCCGACGGUGAGGGAUGAAAAGCUGGGGGAGCGAACCGGAUUAGAUACCCGUGUAGUCCCUAAGACU